This 303-nucleotide ribosomal RNA is filed under the name uncultured bacterium. RNAcentral's name for it is "partial 16S ribosomal RNA". It matches the Rfam family "Bacterial small subunit ribosomal RNA", at positions 507 to 808 of the family's 1533-position model. The record is from RNAcentral.
AGCAGUCGCCGCGGUAAUACAGAGGGUGCGAGCGUUAAUCGGAUUUACUGGGCGUAAAGCGUGCGUAGGCGGCUUUUUAAGUCGGAUGUGAAAUCCCUGAGCUUAACUUAGGAAUUGCAUUCGAUACUGGGAAGCUAGAGUAUGGGAGAGGAUGGUAGAAUUCCAGGUGUAGCGGUGAAAUGCGUAGAGAUCUGGAGGAAUACCGAUGGCGAAGGCAGCCAUCUGGCCUAAUACUGACGCUGAGGUACGAAAGCAUGGGGAGCAAACAGGAUUAGAUACCCCCGGUAGUCCCUGUCUCUUAUA